This 502-nucleotide long non-coding RNA is filed under the name Brassica napus (rape). RNAcentral describes it as "long non-coding RNA (BNAP_LNC015552)". Lineage: Eukaryota; Viridiplantae; Streptophyta; Magnoliopsida; Brassicales; Brassicaceae. The record is from RNAcentral.
UGGGUUUAAGUAUCGGUUAACAUUUAGAGCGUGACUUUCACCGGAAGAGUGACGCGCAUCUAAUAAGACAAAGAAAGUUUAGUUCUGACUUCUGAGUUAGAUCACCGAGUGCUACUCACUUAGAGUGUGAUUGGUAAACCAUAGUAAAUGGGAGUAAACUAAUUAGAGUAACUAAGAGGGAAAUGAUGGAGUAAAUAAGAGAAAAAUGAUAGAAUAACAAAUAAUAAAAAAAUCAAGAAAAAAUUAAACAAACAUACCUCUUCAAAAGCCGUUAGGGAAUAAAGUAAACCACACAUACCCUUAGUUAAACAUUAUUGAUCUACUUGUUAUUAAAUGGGUAUGUUUUUAGAAUUUUGAUCAAGGUUAUAAUUUUAAAAUAAAUUUUUCAAAACCUUCUAUAUUGGAUAGUGAUCAUUUUGUAGAGAAAUAUUGUAGAUUUUGGAUUUUGAUUUAAAAAUUAAGAUAACAAGAGUUUAUGUAGAUAGAUUAAUACGCUUUUAAA